This 1946-nucleotide ribosomal RNA is filed under the name Turicibacter sanguinis. Its description in RNAcentral is "partial 23S ribosomal RNA". It matches the Rfam family "Bacterial large subunit ribosomal RNA", at positions 1 to 1948 of the family's 2925-position model. Lineage: Bacteria; Bacillati; Bacillota; Erysipelotrichia; Erysipelotrichales; Turicibacteraceae. The record is from RNAcentral.
UUAAAAAGGUCAAGCUACAAAGGGCGCAUGGUGAAUGCCUUGGCAUCAGGAGCCGAUGAAGGACGUGAUAAGCUGCGAUAAGCUUCGGGUAGGCGCACAUAGCCAGAGAUCCGGAGAUUUCCGAAUGGGGAAACCCGCAUGAGAAACCUCAUGCAUCGUAAAGUGAAUACAUAGCUUUAUGAAGGAACACCUAGGGAACUGAAACAUCUAAGUACCUAGAGGAAGAGAAAGAAAAAUCGAUUUUCUUAGUAGCGGCGAGCGAAAAGGAAAGAGCCCAAACCAGAGAUUUAUCUCUGGGGUUGCGGACAGAACAUAACGUGAAAUUAUGAUUAACCGAACACAACUGGAAAGUUGGACCGUAGGAGGUAAUAGUCCUGUAAGUAAAAGUCAUAAUGAUCAGUUCUGCACCAGAGUACCACGAGACACGUGAAACCUUGUGGGAAGCAGGGAGGACCACCUCCCAAGGCUAAAUACUACCUGAUGACCGAUAGUGAAGCAGUACCGUGAGGGAAAGGUGAAAAGAACCCCGGGAGGGGAGUGAAAUAGAACCUGAAACCAUGUGCCUACAACCGAUCAAAGCACCUUAUGUGUGUGAUGAUGUGCUUUUUGUAGAACGAGCCAACGAGUUACGGUAUGUAGCGAGGUUAAGUACUUAAGGUACGGAGCCGAAGGGAAACCGAGUCUUAAUAGGGCGACUAGUUGCAUGCUGUAGACCCGAAACCGGGUGACCUAUCCAUGGCCAGGUUGAAGCGAGGGUAAAACCUCGUGGAGGACCGAACCACGUUGCUGUUGAAAAAGCAUGGGAUGAGCUGUGGGUAGCGGUGAAAUUCCAAUCGAACUCGGAUAUAGCUGGUUCUCCUCGAAAUAGCUUUAGGGCUAGCCUCAAGGUUGAGAAAUACGGAGGUAGAGCACUGAAUAUCCUAGGGGGCAUUGCGCUUACCGAAGAUUAUCAAACUCCGAAUGCCGUUAUUUUAUACUUGGGAGUCAGACUGUGGGUAAUAAGAUUCAUAGUCGAGAGGGCAACAGCCCAGAUCGUCAGCUAAGGUCCCUAAAUGUAAGUUAAGUGGUAAAGGAUGUGGGAUUGCAUAGACAACCAGGAUGUUGGCUUAGAAGCAGCCACUCAUUUAAAGAGUGCGUAAUAGCUCACUGGUCGAGUGAUCCUGCGCCGAAGAUUACCGGGGCUAAAACUUACUACCGAAGCUACGAUAUCAUUUAUGAUAGGUAGGGGAGCUUCCUAUGCAGGCUGAAGCAUGACCGUAAGGACAUGUGGACAGUAUAGGAGUGAGAAUGUUGGCAUGAGUAGCGAGACGUGGGUGAGAAUCCCACGGGCCGUAAACCCAAGGUUUCCAGGGGAAGGUUCGUCCGCCCUGGGUUAGUCGGGACCUAAGCCGAGGCCGAAAGGCGUAGGUGAUGGACAACAGGUUGAGAUUCCUGUACCACCGAUAAUCGCUUGAGAGAAGGAAUGACACAGUAGGAUAAGCUAACCACACUGUUGGUUAUGUGUGGCUAAGUACUGAGGCAGUCAAGGUAGGCAAAUCCGCCUUGAUAAUGCUGGGGUACGAUGGGGAGCGAAAUUAAGUAGCGAAGUAGCUGAUUUCACACUGUCGAGAAAAGUUUCUAUCGAGAUUAAAGGUGCCCGUACCGCAAACCGACACAGGUGGGUGAGGAGAGUAUCCUAAGGCCAGCGAGAGAACUGUUGUUAAGGAACUCGGCAAAAUGACCCCGUAACUUAGGGAGAAGGGGUGCCACGUUAGGGUUAACGCCCGAGGUGGCCGCAGAGAAUAGGCCCAAGCGACUGUUUACCAAAAACACAGGUUUCUGCUAAGUCGCAAGACGAUGUAUAGGAGCUGACGCCUGCCCGGUGCUGGAAGGUUAAGGGGAUCUGUUAGGAUUUAUCCGAAGCAGUGAACUUAAGCCCCAGUAAACGGCGGCCGUAACUAUAACGG